Hypoxylon trugodes is the source of this 114-nucleotide non-coding RNA. NCBI's taxonomy places the organism in Eukaryota, Fungi, Ascomycota, Sordariomycetes, Xylariales, Hypoxylaceae. The record is from the annotation of a RefSeq genome assembly.
GGUGGAAUGGCCGAGCGGUUAUGGCGCUGCGUUCAGGUGUAUCUGAAUAAUUCUAUGAUCAAUGGAAUUCUCGCAGUGGAGCAAUCCGCGUGGGUUCGAAUCCCACUUCCAUCA